This is a long non-coding RNA of Panthera uncia (snow leopard), 1318 nucleotides long. RefSeq lists it as uncharacterized. The record is from RefSeq and is a predicted model, not a curated record. The transcript is spliced from 6 exons. Lineage: Eukaryota; Metazoa; Chordata; Mammalia; Carnivora; Felidae.
AUGGUGGGGUAUGUCAAAGGGUCAUCAGGGCCAAUGAAAGAAUUCCUAAUGAUGAAAGGUAGAACAAUCUGAAUAACAAAAUAAAUAACACAGUGCUGAAUCAUAACCUAAAAUACAAAAUAAGUAUCCAUGAGUACAUGCUGAUGUAAAUAAGUGAUUGGAUAAAUCAAUAAAUUGGGGAGAAUAGACAAAUCUCUCAUGUAGAAUUCUACAUAAUUUAUGUAGGUGCUCAACACACAAGGAGUUGGCGCAUAAACUCCCUGCUCCCCCAAAUGUAUGCUGCUCAUGGUAACUUUCUUCCAAAGAGUGCAGUAUGUAUGGAAAGGGUAGGGGAAGAAACCUUACAGUGGAGAAAUCUAACAAAUACUACCUCAGCCAUGUGAUCAAAAUUAAUAUCAACAGAAAUAAGUCAAUCAUAAGUAUCCUUGAUAUGUGAUGAGAAUAGCACUUUACUGUUCUGGUCUUCCUCCAAACUCAUAAUCUCAUCAGACAAAUCCCAACUGAGGAACAUUCUACAAAGCAGCUGACUUCUCCAAAAUGUCAAGGUCAUCAAAACCAAGGAAAGUCUGAGAAACUGGCGCAAUCAAGAGAAGGAGCCCUAGGAAUCAUGACAACCAAAUGUAACGUGGUAUCCUGGAUGGAUUCUGGAACAGAAAAAGAAUACGAGACAAACGCAUAAUGCUUCAUUUGCUGGAUGACCAGGCAAUCCAUUUCCAAGAUCGACUUGUACACAAUGCUCCUGUUGGGCCAAUGUGCUGUGCACAGUGCUCCAAAGUCUCUAGGGGGUGAUGCUGAACAGCAAGAAACUACUUCUGAGGCAAGACAGCACAAAUCCUGAGGUGGUUACUCUUGGAAGAUGUGGCAAAAGAACCUGGAAGAGAAGCUACCUCCUGGUGAAGAGCUGCUGAUUCAGCUUCUGUUGAGAAGGUAUACACAACUUGGCUGUGGAAUGGAAAAUAACUCCAAUUUUUCUUUACCAAGAUGGUCAUGACAUAAAAGAAGUGCAUUAAUAAAGAUUCUUUGAUGACCUGGGAAAAUGCAUAUGACGCAGCACUUUCAUGGAGCUUCCAUACAAGAGGAAGACAGGCCAUCAAGAAAGAGAGACAGAGUGUGAGCAGAGGAGGGGCAGAGAGAGACAGAGACAGAAUCCAAAGCAGGCUCCAGGCUCCGUACUGUCAGCACAGAGCCUGACACGAGAUCUUGACCUGAACCCAAGUCAGACGCUUAAUCGACUGAGCCACCCAGGUGCCCCACAAUGACUGUACUUUAAAAUACUUCAGUUCAAAAAAAAAAAAAAAGGUUAAACAAGCACAAUAGA